Molecule: long non-coding RNA, 634 nt
Organism: Triticum aestivum (bread wheat)
Lineage: Eukaryota; Viridiplantae; Streptophyta; Magnoliopsida; Poales; Poaceae
Exons: 2
Source: RefSeq, a predicted model, not a curated record
CUCGCUCGGCUCCAAAUACGUGCGAUCCCGACUCCCUCACGAGGCAAGGCCGGCUGAGGCGGAGGCCCACAUAGUCGGCCCUUUUGUCUCGCAGUCGCCCCGUUCCAAGCCUCCGCGUCUUUCGUCCGCCGCCGCCGCCGCCGCUGACGGAGGACACGGUGUGCCCAAUCCAAGGUGAUCCCGUCUCCGGCGCCGGCCUCUUACUCCCCCACAUGAACCUCCAUCUUGCCCAGUUCAGAACAGUCGUGAAAGAGAAGUUUUCAAAUUGGCAAGGAUUCCCCCUGGUCCAACUAGUUAAGAUGGUAGAAAAGGGAACAAAGGGCAAACAGGAGGUCACCUACUCAUGCAGCAGUCAUGCUUCGCCAUCAUUCUACAGGACAAAGACCCCGAAGUACACCGCUGGAACAAGACAACCGACGCCAUGGAAACAUCAUCAAUAAUUCCUAAUGAGUAGACUUAAAGUAGGAUUUUGAGAUAUUACAAAUCUGGAGUAGACUUCGUGACAAAUCGUGUACUAGUAUAUAACUGAUUGCUCUCUCUGACAAUUUCCAACUAUAAUGUACAGUUGUACACUGUAUCUUUUUUCAUUUAAGAUAUAUAUGAAUGAGGUGCUCGGCCUCGAAGAUUUAAAUCA